Molecule: long non-coding RNA, 3081 nt
Filed under: Sus scrofa (pig)
Lineage: Eukaryota; Metazoa; Chordata; Mammalia; Artiodactyla; Suidae
Description: lncRNA (ENSSSCG00015039407.1)
Source: RNAcentral
UAUGCUUUUUGGCCAUCUGUCUGCCUUUAGAGGAAUGUCUGUUUAAAUCUUCUGACAAGUUUUUUGGAGUUCCCGUUGUGGCUCAGUGGUUAAUGAAUCCAACUAGGAACCAUGAAGUUACAGGUUUGAUCCCUGGCCUUGCUCAGUGGGUUAAGGAUCCAGCAUUGCUGUGAGCUGUGGUGUGGUUGCAGAUGCAGCUCGGAUCCUGCGUUGCUGUGGCUCUGGUGUAGGCCGACGGCUACAGCUCCAAUUCGACCCCUAGCCUGGGAACUUCCAUGUGCCACGGAAGCGGCCCAAGAAAUUGCAAAAAGAAAAAAAAAAACAAAUCUUCUGACGAGUUUUUAACUGGGUUGUUUAUUUUUCUGGUAUAAAGCUGUAUGAGAUGUUUGAGUAUUUUGAAGAUUAAUCCCUUGGCCAUCGCUUCAUUGGCAAAAAGAUUUUGUCCCAUUUUGUGGGCUAUCUUUUCGUUUUGUUUAUGUUUUCUUUAGCUGUGCAAAAGCUUUUAAGUUUAGUUAGGUCCUAUUUACUUAUUUUUCUUUGUUCUUUUCAUUACUCUAGGAGAUGGAUCAAAAAAGAUACUGCUGUGAUUUAUGUCAGUGUGUUCUGCCUAUGUUUUCCUCUAAGAAUUUUAUAGUAUGCAGCCGUAUGUUUAGGGCUUUAAUCCAUUUUGAGUUUAUUUUUGUGUGUGGUGUUAGUGUUCGAAUAUCAUUCUUUUACAUGUAGCUGUUUUCCAAGUACCACCUAUUGAAGAGACUGUUUUCUCCUUUCAAUAUUCUUGCCUCCUUUGUCAUAGAUUAAUUGACCAUAGGUGCUUAGGUCUAUUUCUGGACUUUCUAUCCUGUUCCACUGAUCUGUAUUUCUAUUUUUGUGCCAGUACCAUACUGUUAUGAUGACUGUAGAUUUGUAGUAUAGUCUGAAGUCGGGAGCCCUGAUUUUCCUACAGCUCUAUUUUUCUUUUUCCAGAUCAUUUCGGCUAUUUGGUGUCUUUUGUGUUUCCCUACAAAUUGUAAAAUUUUUGUUCUAAUUAUGUGCCAAAUGCCAUUGGUGAUUUGAUAGGGAUUGCUCUGAAUCUGUAGAUUGCCUUGUGUAGUAGAGUCAUUUUGAUAAUAUUGUCUUCCUUUUCCAAGAGCAUGGUAUAUCUUUUCAUCUGUGUCAUCCUGGAUUUCUUCACCAGUGUCUUACAGUUUUCAGAGUGUAAGUCUUUUGCUUCCCUAGGUGGGUUUAUUCUUAGGUAUUUUAUUAUCUUUGAUGUGAUGGUAAAUGGGAUUCUUUCCUUAAUUUCUCUUUCUAAUCUUUCAUUGUUAGUGAAUAGGAAUGCAAGCAAUUUCUGUGUAUCCAAUUUCUAUCCUACAGCUUUAUCAAAUUCAUUGAUGAACUCUAGUAAUUUUCUGGUAGCAGCUUUAGGAUUUUCUAUGUAUAGCAUUAUGUCAUCUGCAGACAGUGACAGUUUGACUUUUCCAAUUUGGGUUCCUUUUAUUUUUCUUCUCUGCUUGCUACAGCUAGGAUUUCCAGAUUACUCUAUUGGAUAAAGGUGGUGAGAGUGGUCAUCCUUGUUUUGUUCCUGAUCUUAGCAGGAAUGCUUUUAGCUUUUCACCGUUGAGAAUGGUGUUAGCUGUGGGUUUUCAUAGACGGCCUUUAUUAUGUUGAGGUAGGUUCCCUUUGUGGCAACUUUCUGGAGAGUUUUUAUCAGAAGCGGGUGUCGAAUUUUGUCAAAAGCUUUUUUUCUGCAUCUAUUGAGAGGAUCUAUUGAGAGCAGAGUUUUAACUCUUUACUUCUGUCUCCAAAUACAUCUAAAUACCUGAGUGUCUCUUCCCUAUUUCCUCUCAGUUGUCUUGGUUAGAACCAUCAUUCUCCACAAUUACCAUUUACCAUUGCUCACUUGUAUUUAAGGGUUUCUUAAAUGAAAGUGUCAGUUCUUCAUUUAUUUUUUAAAAUCUAUUAGUUUUUUUUGGCUGCACCUUUGGCAUAUGGAAGUUCCUGGGCCGGGGAUCAAAUCCAAACUGCAGCUGUGACCUGUGCCAUAUCUUUGGCAACACUGGAUCUUUUAACCCACUGUGCUGGGCUGGGGAUCAAACCCCUGCCUCAGGAGUGACCCCAGCCACUGCAGAGAUAUUGCCCAAUCCUUAGCCCGUUGUGCCACAGCAGGGACUCCAGGAAAGUGUCAAUUCUUUAGAUAACUUGUCUUUGAGACAUCUGUAGGAAGUCUUGAGAUUCUCUGAAGUGUUUGUCAUUAACUGUGAAUCACCAUGGUAGAUCUUGGAAUUCCAGGAAAAGUAAACGCAGAAAAUGUCCGUCUUUAUUCCAUAGGAAUUGGCAAGAACACUUGAAAAGAAAGGGAGUAGAGUUCUUUUUUCAUCCUUUGUAUGCUCGAAUUAUUUCAAAUGAUGUGUCUGUAGAAAAGGUUUCAUCUCUUUCAAAGUAUCCGUGGUAUGUGGAAGAAGAUACGAAGAUCUUUUAUCCAGUCGUGUGUUUAUUGAAGUUUCAUUGAAUACUUUGUUGUGCACAGGCGUAUAAGUAGGUGAUAGUGAUCUAAAGAUAAAUACAACUCUUCACAGCUUUUGUAAAGCUUGCAGCCUUCAUGAGAGAGACAGGGGCACAGUUAUAUGCUAUACUAAUUCAUAAAAGUAUUCCUGGGGUCUCAUGGGAAUGCCCUUCUGGGACACUAUACCCGUAGGGUCACCCUCUGAGAGCAGUAGUUCUUGAUUUUUCAUAACAGGACACUUUGGGGAUCUGAUAAACUAACGAUAUUCAUGUUGGGAUGGUUGUGGAUUAAAGUGAUGUAGUGGGAUUGUGCCUUAUGAUUCAGGGAUCAUCCAUCAGACCUGUUGCUGCCCCAUGAAGAACGGCCCAGAGAGAUGUGUAUACACAAAGAAAGAAGUUCAAACCAGAGCACUUGGGACAAUACAAAGGGAUCUAAAAUGUUUAAAUCAUGCAAUUUUGACAUAUUUAUUGAUCAAAAAAAUGGUUUUAAUGCAUUAGUGAGCCCAUAAAAUAAUUAUAUCCAAAACCCUUUUAGAAACAGUUUUUUUUGUAAAAAUUGAAAUAACCUAUUUGUGUACAUUAAAGCAGACAAUUUUACAU